CCUACGGGAGGCAGCAGUAGGGAAUAUUGCUCAAUGGGGGAAACUCUGAAGCAGCAACGCCGCGUGGAGGAUGACGGUUUUAGGAUUGUAAACUUCUUUUGUUAGAGAAGAUUAUGACGGUAUCUAACGAAUAAGGACCGUCUAACUCCGUGCCAGCAGCCGCGGUAAUACGGAGGGUGCAAGCGUUACUCGGAAUCACUGGGCGUAAAGAGUGCGUAGGCGGGGUAAUAAGUCAGAUGUGAAAUCCUGUAGCUUAACUACAGAACUGCAUUUGAAACUGUUCGGCUGGAGAGUGGUAGAGGUAGGUGGAAUGGUUGGUGUAGGGGUAAAAUCCGUAGAGAUCAAAAAGAAUACUCAUUGCGAAGGCGACCUGCUGGAACAUUACUGACGCUGAUGCACGAAAGCGUGGGGAGCAAACAGGAUUAGAUACCCGAGUAGUC
This 440-nucleotide ribosomal RNA is filed under the name uncultured bacterium. RNAcentral describes it as "partial 16S ribosomal RNA". It matches the Rfam family "Bacterial small subunit ribosomal RNA", at positions 338 to 795 of the family's 1533-position model. The record is from RNAcentral.